RNAcentral lists this ribosomal RNA (466 nucleotides) under uncultured bacterium. RNAcentral's name for it is "partial 16S ribosomal RNA". It matches the Rfam family "Bacterial small subunit ribosomal RNA", at positions 28 to 507 of the family's 1533-position model. The record is from RNAcentral.
GAUGAACGCUGGCGGCGUGCUUAACACAUGCAAGUCGAACGGUGAAGCCAAGCUUGCUUGGUGGAUCAGUGGCGAACGGGUGAGUAACACGUGAGCAACCUGCCCUGGACUCUGGGAUAAGCGCUGGAAACGGCGUCUAAUACUGGAUAUGAGCCUCUUCCGCAUGGUGGGGGUCGGAAAGAUUUUUUGGUCUGGGAUGGGCUCGCGGCCUAUCAGCUUGUUGGUGAGGUAAUGGCUCACCAAGGCGUGGACGGGUAGCCGGCCUGAGAGGGUGACCGGCCACACUGGGACUGAGACACGGCCCAGACUCCUACGGGAGGCAGCAGUGGGGAAUAUUGCACAAUGGGCGAAAGCCUGAUGCAGCAACGCCGCGUGAGGGAUGACGGCCUUCGGGUUGUAAACCUCUUUUAGCAGGGAAGAAGCGAAAGUGACGGUACCUGCAGAAAAAGCGCCGGCUAACUACGUG